Molecule: long non-coding RNA, 1739 nt
Filed under: Mustela putorius furo (domestic ferret)
Lineage: Eukaryota; Metazoa; Chordata; Mammalia; Carnivora; Mustelidae
Description: lncRNA (ENSMPUG00000025425.1)
Source: RNAcentral
GGCAUUCCCUGUCACAAGGAGGCUUUGUGGAUAAAAAGGCAAACUGCUUUUCUUGGAGGGGCCGGAUACAGAGAGCCUCCAUGUGAACCUUUAGCACAUUUGGAAAUUGUUGGCAACAUGCUUCAUUUCAUUUUGGAAGCAAGAGAUGGCUGAACAAUACACUGGAAGGUGUGUUACUCGUGUGUGUCCCAGGCAUUGCAUCAUCUUUUCCCUCACCUGUCUCCAAGGAUCUGUCCUUUGUAAAUCGCUGUGGUCAUCAGUCUUCACAUAUUGAACAGACCUUGGAGCUACUCCAUGGUGGAUUACAACUGAUUUCCCAUGUUUACUGGAAUGCCAUUGGGAAUGGGGCUCAUCUUUGAAAGGAGUUCUAUUAACCAAGUGCCUGGAGGCCUGGGAUCUACGGCUCAGAAUUCCCGACAUCAGAAUUGUUGUGUGGAGUCAGUACUCACAGGACAUCUGGAAAGCAGAAGAGAAACAGAAGCCAUUUUAUCAGUCCUUUGAUAGCAGCAAGCAGAUUCACGGACUCUGGCAGAACACAUCUUUUGGUUGUUUUCACUCAAAUCACCUGCUUUGAUGCUGAGCCUUGCAAUCAUGAUCAGUUACUCCCUGGGUUCCUACAGCUUCCUAACCCCUCAGCUGGCUGCAAACUCAGACCCAGCAGUGAACCACGCAGACCUCCACGCUUCCUGACAGUCUUCCCGACAACUCCGUAAAUGCUUAAUUCCCUUCACUGAAACCCCUUCGCAGUUUAAAAUACCUACAGUCUUCUGUUUUCCUGAACAGCCUUGACUGAUACAAACAGAAACCCUGAUGCCAAGUCCUACAACUGCCAUCAUGUAAACAAGUCUGCAGCGAUAUUCCAACACGCUGAGGAUGCUGCGAUGGAAAGAUACCAGGUUCCGUAGGACACUAUCGAGCCAGCGCUCCAGCUCUAGACUACGUUAUAGUCUCACUGCUAUUUUUGUGAAGAAAAAUCAAAUAUAUUUGGUCAGCCAGAUUAGUCAAGUUUUCACGUAUUUUUAGCCAAAGCAUUCUUAAUGUUUACACUCAGAUUCUCAGCUGUAAAAUGGGGCUACAAUAAAGUCUCGUAGGUACAACAAAUGCAGUGUGUUUGGCAUAUAGUGAUCGCUUCAAUGUUAGUGAUUAAUAUUGAAUCAUUUUACACAUCUUCAAAUUAAAAAUAAGAUGUAUCUCUUCCUUGGAAUGAAAUUUCCAAGAAGGAGCACUCAUAUAAAUAAAAUAGGCUUUUCUAAAUUUGAGCCUGAAGAUUCAGUUAAAGUAGUGAAUAGCAAGUGAUAGUAUAUUUGGAUGACUACUUUCUAUUUCAUUGACAAAUGGAAUUAGUGGGAGCAUUAUGUGGAGACCCAUGUGUGACGUGCACACCGUAUCUGAAAAACAUAAGGAAGAGAUUGGGCUUGAGAUAGGCCGAUGCAAUGUAAGGAAAAACAAACUUUAAUGUUAUGGGUAUAAUUUUUUCCUCCUAAUGGAAUGUUCUAUAAAUAUUUCUCAUUUUAUAAUAACUUACUUUAAAUAGGGUGGCCAUUUAUAAGUGCUCUGCUGGAAACAAACAAAACAAAACAAAAACAAUGUUGAUUAUAUCUCAUCAGCAGAGGAUAACUGGGAAGUCAUAUACUCCUUACCUUUCAUGUAACCAAAACUAUAGUCAGUGCUUUGGCUGAAAAAAAUCUGUUUUCCUCACCCAGUGGUUUUACACAUUUAGUGUCUUUAAUAUGGAAAGG